Molecule: long non-coding RNA, 394 nt
Organism: Talpa occidentalis (Iberian mole)
Lineage: Eukaryota; Metazoa; Chordata; Mammalia; Eulipotyphla; Talpidae
Exons: 4
Source: RefSeq, a predicted model, not a curated record
CCUGCUCAAAGCAGGCAUGCAUUAUCAUCACUAUCACAUGUCUUCAUAAAGCAACAAUAGAUCUCCUUCUGGAAACACCAUUUUAAAAGGAGCAGGUACCCAGCUGUAAACAUCAUGAAGGAUGUGACGGGAGGGCGGCUUCCCUCCUUUAGGAGCUGUAUAUACAUUAAUCACUGAAUCACCAAGCCAUGCUUAAUUGCAAGCUGUAUAUCACACAAAUCCAUGGAAUGCAGAAAAGGUAUUACACCACUAAUUACAGCCACACUGGCACCUCCAUCUCAGCUGCCUGGAAGAGAAAAUGGGACUCUCACAGAUCUGCAGCCAUCCGGGGCUUCUGCCUCAUUGCCGCUAAACUGACUGGGGCCUCCCCUGGUGGCACAGUGGUUGAGCGCUG